GACCUCCUUCAAAAGCUGGAGCAAUAGGUUCUUUGAAGUGAGACAAAAUUACUAAGGGAGCUAAAGAGCACAAACCAUGCUUAAUAAGAAUGAAACUGAAUUGGGAGGAAAAUUAGCUAUGACGUACAUUUAGAAAGGGAAGAAACGUCAGUGUUGAACCUGAAAACGAUAAUUUUCAAAUUACGCCUGGGGCCACGCACGAGGGGACUGCAAAAUGAAAUCUUGGCUUCUCACUUUGAAAAUGCACUGGAGUUUGACAUGAACGUACACAUUUGACUUUUGCAUUCUGCCGGUUGGUUACACCACAGGACAGCCCGGGUCAGGGACAUCUGUGUCUGAAAGCACUGGAAACCUUCACCAGGUCUCUCGGAGUCUUUCUGGUCCAACAUCUCACAGCGUUUCUAUAACUUCAAUGAACUAUAUACCAGGACUCUUUUCCGUGGAGGCAAGGUACACUCCUGUCUGAAGAACAACUCUUCCGCAGAGGGUCCUGAGCAGAAAUCACAAGGUGAAGUCUGAUGGGACAAUGGAGCAUGCCAGCGAGGAGAGACGAUACACACAUUGACACCCCAUUCAUAUUCCUGAUGCCCCAUGAGCACAGAGUUCUAGGGGACCCAUGAUGCAUUGGGUGUUCAAUGAGGCUCCAAUCAAGUACAUAUUCUGCUGCCCAUUUUCAUCCGUCUGCCAGUUAAGGUAGAGUCAUGCAUCAAUGGCCCUAAAUGCGAAAGUGACAGCACCCAGUUCCUAAAGGAUAAGGAGUGUCCACAUUGCCAGCUUCUCAGGGAUGCUGACAUUUGGACUGGUUCUUGAAGAAUAAGUGGAAGAGUGAAAGUCAGAGAAGGGGACAAGGGCAUUCCAAACAGAGAAUUAUAUCUGCAAAGUGAGAGAAGCAGCGGUGAGGACCUGAAGGUCCAACUGAAGCUGGGGCUAGAAGGAGGAAGGGAGUGGUGAGGGAUGUGCUUGAUUUUAAGAGCUUGGACCAUGAUGCUAGAGAGCCCGGGCUUUGGCCAGAAGUAACAGGACAUGACGGCUUUGAUUUUAGAAGAUAUCAGUGGCAGCAGUUGUAAAGCGUGAAUUGGAUGAGCAAUCAGCUGGGGGCAAGAAGAUCAACUGUGUCAGCUGUUGCAACAGUCCAAGCAAGAAAGUGGGGUAGAACUGGAAUUAUGGUGCUGGAAGAGAAAGACAGCUCUCUGACUUACAGGUAGAAGGAGAAAGAGAACAAACAAGGGCAGGAUGUAAGAGUCAGUCCAGCAUAAAUCUAAGCGCUUGAGUCUGACCUGAAUAUGGCUUUUGCUGUGUCUUCUUAAUUCCUUUAUUUCAUUGGCUCCUUUAUUAAAGCUCAUACUUCGUGCUGAAGGAUUUAGUACUGUCUUUCUCUUUCCCCUUACACCUUCCAAGAGGAUUAUCUAUUAAUCCAAAUGCUGAUGGUCCUUCAUUUCCCUUACAAAAAUAGCCCUACUCUAUAACAGGAUCUUCGCUGCAACUAGAUGAGCAUUUUAAAUAGAGCCUGAGAAGAAAAUGAUUCUCAGCACUCUCUAGAUUCCAUGUUUAUCGCAUGAGUCUUUACUAUGUUUUAUGUUCAUGGAAUUUAGCGUCAAAAGCAAUGGACAUCAAAGUGAGGUGAAAAAAUAAACACAAUAAAUACAGAGCAUCUCAUCUUAUUUGUUCCUUCAUUCAGGGAGUACGAAGCAGAAAGCACAGUGCUGGGUGCUUCUUAAGCACACAUAAGGAUCAAUUAUGUGGAAGUUUAAAUUCUGGUGGGAGAUAUCCAAUGCAUAAAUAAUGAUAAUAUGAAAUUAAAUGUGGUAUGUGGCAUAAGAAAAAUAAUAGAAUAUUGUAGUAUUUAAAAAGGAGUGAUUACUUCUCGUUGGUGUAACCAUGGUGGCUUAAUAAAGUUGGAGAUAUUUGACCUGAGGCUCAGUUCAAAAGGUAUUUCAGGUGGGAGAAAUUUCAUAAAGAUGAGGGCUGGGGGGAUGUGAGGUGCAGAGCGAAUGUUCAGUUUGGCUGGAGCACACGCUGUGUGGAAGGAAUCAGCCAGAGAUGAGGCUGGACGGAGCUGAGGUCUGAAUGCCCGGCCGAGCGGUGCACGGUGCACAGCAGACCGAAGGGAGGCUCUGAACAGGAGCUGGAAUGAUCAGAGAGUGAGUUUUAAGGUGAUUAAUCUUGGCAGUGGUAGAUAAGACAGAUUAGAUGGUAGAGAGAUUGGAAACCGUUUAGGAGGCUAAACCGUUUAGGGCAGCAGUAAUGAGAGUCUGAAAUGAAAGUAGACGCCAUGGAACAGAAAAUGAAAGCAUGGAUUCAAGAGGUCUUAGCAAAAGACUCUCAAGUCAUUCAGUUUU
Molecule: non-coding RNA, 2339 nt
Organism: Delphinapterus leucas (beluga whale)
Lineage: Eukaryota; Metazoa; Chordata; Mammalia; Artiodactyla; Monodontidae
Source: RefSeq, a predicted model, not a curated record